UAAUAUUAUUAAAAACAAUAAUAUGAACAAAUGGGCAAAUUUGGAUUUUGUCUACAAUCGGGAAAUUACUUAUUUUUCUUAUUAUCAAUG
Long non-coding RNA from Limulus polyphemus (Atlantic horseshoe crab), 90 nucleotides. RefSeq lists it as uncharacterized. Lineage: Eukaryota; Metazoa; Arthropoda; Merostomata; Xiphosura; Limulidae. The transcript is spliced from 3 exons. The record is from RefSeq and is a predicted model, not a curated record.